RNAcentral lists this ribosomal RNA (2775 nucleotides) under Pararge aegeria (speckled wood butterfly). Its description in RNAcentral is "bacterial LSU rRNA". It matches the Rfam family "Bacterial large subunit ribosomal RNA". Lineage: Eukaryota; Metazoa; Arthropoda; Insecta; Lepidoptera; Nymphalidae. The record is from RNAcentral.
AGCGCAUACGGUGGAUGCCUUGGCAGUCAGAGGCGAUGAAAGACGUGGUAGCCUGCGAAAAGCUUCGGGGAGUCGGCAAACAGACUUUGAUCCGGAGAUGUCUGAAUGGGGGAACCCAGCCAUCAUAAGAUGGUUAUCUUACGCUGAAUACAUAGGCGUAAGAGGCGAACCAGGGGAACUGAAACAUCUAAGUACCCUGAGGAAAAGAAAUCAACCGAGAUUCCCUUAGUAGUGGCGAGCGAACGGGGACUAGCCCUUAAGUGGCUUUGAGAUUAGCGGAACGCUCUGGAAAGUGCGGCCAUAGUGGGUGAUAGCCCUGUACGCGAAAAUCUCUUAGUCAUGAAAUCGAGUAGGACGGAGCACGAGAAACUUUGUCUGAAUAUGGGGGGACCAUCCUCCAAGGCUAAAUACUACUGACUGACCGAUAGUGAACUAGUACCGUGAGGGAAAGGCGAAAAGAACCCCGGAGAGGGGAGUGAAAUAGAUCCUGAAACCGUAUGCGUACAAGCAGUGGGAGCCCACUUUGUUGGGUGACUGCGUACCUUUUGUAUAAUGGGUCAGCGACUUAUUUUCAGUGGCGAGCUUAACCGAAUAGGGGAGGCGUAGCGAAAGCGAGUCUUAAUAGGGCGUCUAGUCGCUGGGAAUAGACCCGAAACCGGGCGAUCUAUCCAUGGGCAGGUUGAAGGUUGGGUAACACUAACUGGAGGACCGAACCGACUACCGUUGAAAAGUUAGCGGAUGACCUGUGGAUCGGAGUGAAAGGCUAAUCAAGCUCGGAGAUAGCUGGUUCUCCUCGAAAGCUAUUUAGGUAGCGCCUCAUGUAUCACUGUAGGGGGUAGAGCACUGUUUCGGCUAGGGGGUCAUCCCGACUUACCAAACCGAUGCAAACUCCGAAUACCUACAAGUGCCGAGCAUGGGAGACACACGGCGGGUGCUAACGUCCGUCGUGAAAAGGGAAACAACCCAGACCGUCAGCUAAGGUCCCAAAGUUAUGGUUAAGUGGGAAACGAUGUGGGAAGGCUUAGACAGCUAGGAGGUUGGCUUAGAAGCAGCCACCCUUUAAAGAAAGCGUAAUAGCUCACUAGUCGAGUCGGCCUGCGCGGAAGAUGUAACGGGGCUCAAACCAUACACCGAAGCUACGGGUAUCACGUAAGUGAUGCGGUAGAGGAGCGUUCUGUAAGCCUGUGAAGGUGAGUUGAGAAGCUUGCUGGAGGUAUCAGAAGUGCGAAUGCUGACAUGAGUAACGACAAUGGGUGUGAAAAACACCCACGCCGAAAGACCAAGGUUUCCUGCGCAACGUUAAUCGACGCAGGGUUAGUCGGUCCCUAAGGCGAGGCUGAAAAGCGUAGUCGAUGGAAAACAGGUUAAUAUUCCUGUACUUCUGGUUAUUGCGAUGGAGGGACGGAGAAGGCUAGGCCAGCUUGGCGUUGGUUGUCCAAGUUUAAGGUGGUAGGCUGAGAUCUUAGGUAAAUCCGGGAUUCUAAGGCCGAGAGCUGAUGACGAGCUAACUUUUAGUUAGCGAAGUGGUUGAUGCCAUGCUUCCAAGAAAAGCUUCUAAGCUUCAGGUAACCAGGAACCGUACCCCAAACCGACACAGGUGGUUGGGUAGAGAAUACCAAGGCGCUUGAGAGAACUCGGGUGAAGGAACUAGGCAAAAUGGCACCGUAACUUCGGGAGAAGGUGCGCCGGUGAGGGUGAAGGACUUGCUCCGUAAGCUCAUGCCGGUCGAAGAUACCAGGCCGCUGCGACUGUUUAUUAAAAACACAGCACUCUGCAAACACGAAAGUGGACGUAUAGGGUGUGACGCCUGCCCGGUGCCGGAAGGUUAAUUGAUGGGGUUAGCUAACGCGAAGCUCUUGAUCGAAGCCCCGGUAAACGGCGGCCGUAACUAUAACGGUCCUAAGGUAGCGAAAUUCCUUGUCGGGUAAGUUCCGACCUGCACGAAUGGCGUAACGAUGGCGGCGCUGUCUCCACCCGAGACUCAGUGAAAUUGAAAUCGCUGUGAAGAUGCAGUGUAUCCGCGGCUAGACGGAAAGACCCCGUGAACCUUUACUAUAGCUUUGCACUGGACUUUGAAUUUGCUUGUGUAGGAUAGGUGGGAGGCUUUGAAGCGUGGACGCCAGUCUGCGUGGAGCCAACCUUGAAAUACCACCCUGGCAACUUUGAGGUUCUAACUCAGGUCCGUUAUCCGGAUCGAGGACAGUGUAUGGUGGGUAGUUUGACUGGGGCGGUCUCCUCCUAAAGAGUAACGGAGGAGUACGAAGGUGCGCUCAGACCGGUCGGAAAUCGGUCGUAGAGUAUAAAGGCAAAAGCGCGCUUGACUGCGAGACAGACACGUCGAGCAGGUACGAAAGUAGGUCUUAGUGAUCCGGUGGUUCUGUAUGGAAGGGCCAUCGCUCAACGGAUAAAAGGUACUCCGGGGAUAACAGGCUGAUACCGCCCAAGAGUUCAUAUCGACGGCGGUGUUUGGCACCUCGAUGUCGGCUCAUCACAUCCUGGGGCUGAAGCCGGUCCCAAGGGUAUGGCUGUUCGCCAUUUAAAGUGGUACGCGAGCUGGGUUUAGAACGUCGUGAGACAGUUCGGUCCCUAUCUGCCGUGGACGUUUGAGAUUUGAGAGGGGCUGCUCCUAGUACGAGAGGACCGGAGUGGACGAACCUCUGGUGUUCCGGUUGUCACGCCAGUGGCAUUGCCGGGUAGCUAUGUUCGGAAUAGAUAACCGCUGAAAGCAUCUAAGCGGGAAACUAGCCUCAAGAUGAGAUCUCACUGGAACCUUGA